RNAcentral lists this long non-coding RNA (2411 nucleotides) under Vitis vinifera (wine grape). RNAcentral's name for it is "long non-coding RNA (VVIN_LNC006322)". The record is from RNAcentral. Lineage: Eukaryota; Viridiplantae; Streptophyta; Magnoliopsida; Vitales; Vitaceae.
GGCGAUAUAUCGCCGAUAUAUCCCGAUAUUUUUGUCUUGUUUAGGACCAAGGUUUGGACUCUAAGGAUAAUGCUUCAGAUGGACUAAUCUGGGCAUGAAGUUAGCAGGGCUCUUUUGUAUUGAAACCGUUUAUACUAUGCCUAAAGAGACCUAAAUCAUGUGACAUGCUUAGUCCUGUUGGCCUUUAUGUUGCAGUGUAGGAUAUUAUCUUUGGGGUGGAAUGGGCAAAAAAUAAUGGGGUAGGUUCAAUUGCUGGUCAGCAAUAUUUGGGUGUUUUUGAGGUGGAGGGUUGAGCAGAGCAUUCCCAGUGAGAGAAAUGAUGAUGCUGACUUAAGGAAAGGCUUUUCUGCUAGAAAUAUGGAUCAUGGUGGGUUUUCCAGCAAGGAAACCUGCAGAAAUGGAUGAGGACACAUUGCUUUAUGAUUGGGGUUUGUGGAAUCUAUUAUAGUUAACCUUGAUGGAGAGCCCUUCUUGGGCCGAUGUGGCUCAGAGCACUUUGGGUUUGAAUUGAGUGUUACUGGACCUUCAAUCAAGUUCAGAGUCUGGUGGGUCUUAUGGAUUCUACUGUUGAGGAGAUCGUUACGUUUGAGAUAGUCUUGCCUGGAUUUUGCCUUGUGCAACUCUCGGUUCACAAGAAAGUUACUGGGUUGAGUGCAUGAUGGGUUUGGGGGUUCAAAAAGAUAUUGAGUGGUGUACAAUGGGGAAGGAGAUCAAAGUCUGAGGGAUGAGUUCUUUUUUGCAGUGAGAAUGAAGCAGAGAGUUUGUUGAAGCCCUUUGAUUGCUGUGACCAUGGUGCAUCCGUUGGUAGGAGUGGCAGGUUCUGGGGGAGAGUCUAAUGGAUACUCGAUCUCCUUAGGAUGCCAGUAUGUUUGGGGAGGGUGUUAAGAUAGAGGCUUAUUUGAUCAGCAUUUAUAACAUUAUAGUGAAUGUGUUGGAUUGGAGGUUGAAGGUUGGCCUCUAGAUUAAGAAUCCAACCCCUAGAUUUAAUUUGCGAAUCAGAUGAUGAGAAGCUAAUAAUUUGGAAUGGGAUUUUCUUCCCUAUAUAAUGAGAAUUGCUUUUGUGGACAAGGGAAGGAGGUGCAUAAUCUAUUGCAGAUUAUUUACAUGUUUAAAAGUUCUAUAGGCAUUCAACAAGGAAGCACUCUUUUCUCACCUAUGUUUAAAAGUUCUAUAGGCAUUCAACAAGGAAGCACUCUUUUCUCACCUAUUUAUUAUGGGCAUGAAAAUUUUUUGUAGGUCAAUUCAAAAGUCAGUUGCAGGGAAUUUUAUGAAAGGCUUGAGAUGGUUGGGAGAGAAGGUAUCAAAAGGGUUACAAGAUUAGGGUGGGAGAUGGGAGGCUGAUGGAUUCUUGGAAACAGCUGCAGUGGGACUGCUAUCUCCUGGGUGAAUUCCUGUAUCUUUUUUCUUAUGGUUUCAAGUAAAGUGGUUUAGGUUUGUGAGUGUGGUGGAAGUGGUUAAAAGUUUGGAACCAGACUGACUUUUUCUGGUGGUUUUUAUUGACAUUUUGAUCCCUUGGGCAUAAGGGUGGUUGGAUGAGUGUUCUUUUUUAAAGAAAGGAGAGCAGAAUCAGAUAACUCUAUCUAAAGUGUUUUCUUGCCUUUUGGUUUGGAUAAGUGUCUGGGUGUGGAUGAUAAAUCGAUAAAUAGAAGCUGGGCCAUCAUGAAUGGGUAGAUUGUGUUAAGAAAAUGUGAGUUGGUAAUAAUCUUUUCUUUCUUUUAGAUGGAUUAAAAAAUUGUGGGACUCUGUCUUCUUCCCUUUUUUUUUUUUUUUUUCCAUUUAGAUUUAGUUGGUAAAGCUGUCAUUGGCCAGUAAAUAAUGAUGUGGUUGUUUAAAAGAGCUGGAAAUGAGAGGAACUGGGGUUGUUUAGGGUUUUGUUCUGCAUCCUAUGUUCUCAUGUAAUUGGAAGGAGGAAAUGUAAGGAUAUCUGGUACUAGGAACUCCCUAUAUUGGAAUGACCUACAUUGAAAUCGAAGUUGAUUUUUUCCCCCUUUAUUUGGUGUAAUUUGGUUGGAUUUGGGGGGUUCUUCUUGGAUUUAAUGUUCUUUUAUCUUGUAAUUUUGUUUUCUUUUGGUUGUAUGCCUUAUGCACACAUGAGCUCUAGCUCUUUUCCUUUGAUCGGUAAUAGAAUAUGUUUCUUAUAAAAAUAUUUGAUCCCUCUUGGUGCUCUUUUAUAAAAAUCAUUGAGCAAGAGAAGGUUGAUAAAUUUAGCUUCAGGAUAACUAAAAAGCGUUAUUUACUUGCAUGUUUACCAAUGGUUUCUUUUCUCUAUCUUAUGGGUGGCCUGAUUCCAUUACAACAUGAGCAAUCUAUUUGGUUGUAAUCUGCACAUUUGAAAUUGACGUCCGAUUUUGCUGUCAAUUAUGCUGCAACUUCAAGUUCUUGGUCUGUUUAGUUUAAUGAAUCAUUCAAAU